Long non-coding RNA from Oncorhynchus gorbuscha (pink salmon), 3759 nucleotides. RefSeq lists it as uncharacterized. The transcript has 3 exons. Lineage: Eukaryota; Metazoa; Chordata; Actinopteri; Salmoniformes; Salmonidae. The record is from RefSeq and is a predicted model, not a curated record.
AGAAUAACGGGGUCCAUGUGGACCCUGAACGGCUUCGGAAGAGCAGAUGACAGAUCCGAUGACACAGAUGCAAUUCUCCCGUUCUGUACGAACGUUUUUUCAAACACACCGAGAACAGAGGAUUUAAACGUCCGGUCAACUCCCCUGGGAACCUCCACCAGCUCGCUCCAUAUUCCUAACCCAAGCAAACAACGCACAACUCCGGCGCAAAUACAUUGCUCAGAAUCAACCCCUCCGGAAAAGUACGACAGGACAGGGAAUUUACGAGACGGCGCUCCAUGGACACGGCUCCAACGAGACAGGCCUGGCAGAAUCGGGAAUUCUUGGUGACAAAAGUCAAGCCCCCCCCCCGGAUUCGGUCAGAACAGAGACUCCUCCCCGGCGUAUAAUGGCACCGAAUACCUCACACAUCUUAAGCGCGAGGAGGAUCCCGGCUCACCGAACAUUCCCAAUGAAACAACCAAAACGGAGGAUUUAAACCUUAUAAAUGACAUUUCCGAGGCAGACGACCGGUUAUUAUGGGAUGCGGCCAACCUUCUUGAUUCUGCCAAUUCUGUGGUGACAACAGACGGAUCUGAAAUAGAACAAGCUAGGUUUUUCACAGCCUUUUCCAGGGCUCUAAAAUCCCGAAAGGUUUUGCUACACAGACGCCUGGGUGUUUUACUAGAGCGCCAAUACCGUCAGGAUAUAUCCUUCUGGCAUAGAGCAAUUCCACGUAUGUUAAACAGCAAUCCGAUUAAAAAACGCAAAUACAGGCGUUAAAAGCAUAUAUGUUACACGGAUCCUUCCAGAAUAACCCAAGAACACACAUCAUUAAUUAUCCAUAUGGCUGACCAAACAGACCUAGGCGAGACAGUUGAAAACCUCUUAUCCCAGAUACCGCCAGAAUUCCAAGCUAUAAUUAACCAUAUGAAAGAGGCGGGGGUAAACAGACAUAAUACCGAUAGAUGAAAGCAUAUUAUCACAGAUUCCAGCCGAACUCAUAGAAAUUAUUAAUCGUAUGAAUGAGUCAGCGCCGUCCGACGAAAACCUGUUAUCACAGAUUCCCGAAGCCCCCAUAUCGCUAAUUACCCAGAUGAAGAGAGCCUGAGAUCUAAUUCUGCAACACACACCCCUCAAAACCAGACAUUAACACCCAUGUCCGAAGAGUCUGAAACGCAAUACGAUGUUUUUGAGGAAUUGCAGAAAAUUGUCUAAUAAUUCAGGAUGGAAACGGUAUGGAUAGAAGUGUUCGUGUUGUGUACCGAAAUCAAUUCAACAAUACAGAGAUUCGACAGUUUUUCAAUUUCGCAUGGGUGAAUCAGAAUCUUGACUAUGCUGUGUUUUACAUAAUGAUAUUGGACACUCUGAAUGAACUGUUAGAAAGGGCUAGAGAUUAUGGCGAACCACGUGAUGUCUUACAGUUGGAAAUUUGUGGAGAUUGCCUGUAUAACACGGUAUCUCUUAUUUUGACCAAUGGCGAAGCAGAUCUUGAACAAUUUAUCGCCCUGCUAGAACGACUUGUUCAGUCAAAUGUAUCCGUCAUAGCCGAUAGGACCCUCGAGCUUGUAGUGCAAAUAAUAGGUCAACCCCAGGGUGGUGGUGGGCAGAGAAGGAAGCUAGAUAGCAUAAUGCAGUCAGAAAUCAUCAGCAAUAAAAGGGUCUACCUCAAACGUUCACAAUCCCGGUAAUAAGCUAUGCUUUGCAAUAGGUCUGUCCCAUUUACUCAACACGGGAUGUACUGAUCUAGCGGCGUUACAACGGUAUCCGGGAUGCUGUGGCUUUCUCUGACAUACUCAAAUUUGAAAACUUUCUAGAUUGUGAUAUCAAGAUUGUGGUUUUGUACCACAGUAGAGCUAAUGCAGCUCUCUUGAAAUUCCAAAACAACCCCCAACCUCACCCUCAGACUCUGUACUUUUAUGUGCAAAACGAACAUUACUAUGCCGUUACUAACAUCACAGCGUUUUUAGGCGCACCAUAUGUGUGUCCAUCCUGCCAUACCGUCUACACCCGAAUGGGGGGGGCACUUGUGCCAUUAUAACUGUUCAGUAUGUCUGGAUAAAAAUUGUCCUAUGCAACCCUUACACUUGACACCCUGUGAGGAUUGCCACCGCACAUGUCGUUCGACCUACUGUUACGAAAAACACAAAAUUGAAACAUGGCACCCCAAGGCCUGUAAAUCUGUAAGCAGUUGUGACAUUAACAAGAAAUGCCCAAAAUGCCAUUGUAAUUACAACCUUAAUAUAGAUAGCCCUAAACCGCAUGUGUGUGGAAUCAUACAUUGCUCAAUCUGUAAAGGGCCUUUGAAAAGCAGAGACACUGAAGUGGUUCAAGAAGUGCAACACAAGUGUUAUAAUCAGCCCGUGGCUGAAGUUGAACAUUCAGAGAAAUAAAGUGUCAUAUGAUUUUGAGAUAAAUCAGCAAUCAGGGGUUCAUUUGCCUAUUUUUGUAUCGACCAUGACUUUCAAGGGUGAAAAGUGGUCGGCCGAGGGACCCAAUUGUGCACUGUUCUUUCUAAAACACUUUAGAAAACCCCAAUACAGAAACUUCACGUUUAUAGCACACAAUGCUCGAGCCUAUGACCUUCUUCUGAACCCCUUGAUACAGCAAGGCGUUGCACCCAGUGUCAUAGCUCAAGGUAGUAAAAUCUUGUGUUUUGUAGACCCCGCCUUCAACCAGAGAUAGAUUGACAGUUUAAGCUUCUUACCCAUGAGAUUGGCUCAAAUGCCAAAGGCCUUGGGUUUUGAAAACUCUGUGAAAGGCUGGUUCCCCGCACUUCUUCACAUCUGAGGAGAAUCUACAUUAUAUUGGAUCUUAUCCCUGCCCCGAAAUGUACGGGUGUGAUCAAAUGUCUCCCAAAGAGCGUGAGAGAUUCAUGACAUGGUACGAGACAGUAAGACAUGGCCCCUUUGAUUUCCAUAAAGAGAUGGAAUCAUACUGUGACAAUGAUGUGGUUAUACUUGGUGAAGGAUGCCUCAGAUUCAGAGAAGAGGUAAUCAAAGAUGCAGGCAUUGACCCCUGGAGUUGUACAACUAUUGCAUCGGCGUGCAUGAAAACCUAUCGUAUGAGUACAACGGUUGUUUCUUCCACGGUUGUAAAUCUUGCUUUGUGCCCCCGGCCAUGUGUGUCCUAACCCAAAAGAUUUUUGUGGAAAUGUAUCAAGAGUUUCAAAAGAAAUUGGAUUCUUUCCAGGCUACUUUCAGGUUAAAAGUUGUGGUUUUGUGGGAGCACGAAUGGACAGCCCUCAAAAAGUCUGAUCCUCAUGUUCAAGCCUUCCUUUCCAGCUACGACACACUAGAACCCCUGGAACCACGACAGGCCUUAUUUAUGUUUAUGGAGAGUAUAUGCAUCCUGCUCUGAUAACCACUCAUUCACUUUAGAAUCACUUAACCGGCUACCUGUUUCUUCGGCUAUAGCUCUCUGUAAAUGUUCCUUACCCCCAUAAGACCCGGGGUUAGAGGGAUUAUAAUAAAUGUUUUUCAACAUCUGCUCCGCCAUCCUUCUUGCCUCUCUGAGGUACAAUAACGUUAAUGAGCCACUUUCAAAUAACGACAACAUUUCAUUUUCAUUAUAGAAUUUUUAUUUUAUUCAUGCAUCAAGUAUUACGUAUACAGACAAUUCAGGAUUCUUUGCAGGAUACAUGUCCCAGUUUUCUCAACGAUCACAGCAUGCAACACCCUGUAUAUUUGGUUUUGAUUUAGACUUGUGUCGCUGAACUUUUAAAACACACAUGUCCGAUAUAUAAGCAUAUAAACAACAAAUAUGAUACACGUUACAAUU